This 253-nucleotide ribosomal RNA is filed under the name uncultured bacterium. Its description in RNAcentral is "partial 16S ribosomal RNA". It matches the Rfam family "Bacterial small subunit ribosomal RNA", at positions 524 to 776 of the family's 1533-position model. The record is from RNAcentral.
UACGUAGGGUGCAAGCGUUAAUCGGAAUUACUGGGCGUAAAGCGUGCGCAGGCGGCUUUGCAAGACAGAUGUGAAAUCCCCGGGCUUAACCUGGGAACUGCAUUUGUGACUGCAUGGCUGGAGUGCGGCAGAGGGGGAUGGAAUUCCACGUGUAGCAGUGAAAUGCGUAGAGAUGUGGAGGAAUACCGAUGGCGAAGGCAGCCCCCUGGGAUAACACUGACGCUCAUGCACGAAAGCGUGGGGAGCAAACAGG